Molecule: ribosomal RNA, 302 nt
Filed under: uncultured bacterium
Lineage: Bacteria
Description: partial 16S ribosomal RNA
Rfam family: Bacterial small subunit ribosomal RNA
Source: RNAcentral
GCAGUAGCCGCGGGAAUACGAAGGGUGCAAGCGUUAAUCGGAAUUACUGGGCGUAAAGCGUGCGUAGGUGGUGGUUUAAGUCCGUUGUGAAAGCCCUGGGCUCAACCUGGGAAUUGCAGUGGAUACUGGGUCACUAGAGUGUGGUAGAGGAUAGUGGAAUUUCCGGUGUAGCAGUGAAAUGCGUAGAGAUCGGAAGGAACAUCUGUGGCGAAGGCGACUAUCUGGGCCAAUACUGACGCUCAUGCACGAAAGCGUGGGGAGCAAACAGGAUUAGAUACCCCAGUAGUCCCUGUCUCUUAUAC